RNAcentral lists this ribosomal RNA (511 nucleotides) under Leiognathus brevirostris (shortnose ponyfish). RNAcentral's name for it is "partial 16S ribosomal RNA". It matches the Rfam family "Bacterial large subunit ribosomal RNA", at positions 586 to 1226 of the family's 2925-position model. The record is from RNAcentral. Lineage: Eukaryota; Metazoa; Chordata; Actinopteri; Chaetodontiformes; Leiognathidae.
CAGAGAUUUUACCUCGUACCUUUUGCAUCAUGAUUUAGCUAGUACCCCCUAAGCAAAAAGAAUUUUAGUUUAGUUCCCCGAAACUAAGUGAGCUACUCCAAGACAGCCUAUUAAUAGGGCGCACCCAUCUCUGUGGCAAAAGAGUGGGAAGAGCUUCGAGUAGAGGUGACAGACCUACCGAACUUAGUUAUAGCUGGUUGCCUGAGAAUUGGAUAGAAGUUCAGCCCUCUGCCUUCUUUAGUCAAACGAAAUCAUACCCAACCGACCAAAAGAAUGCAAAGGAGUUAGUUAAAGGAGGUACAGCUCCUUUAACACAAGAUACAACUUAACCAGGAGGAUUAAGAUCAUAAUAAAUCAAGGCAUCCGUGUUUUGGUGGGCCUAAAAGCAGCCAUCCUAAUAGAAAGCGUUAAAGCUCAGACACGAAACUUCCCACUAAUCCUGAUAAUACCUCUGAAUCCCCUAAUACUACCAGGCCGUCCUAUGCACCCAUAGGACUGAUUAUGCUAAUAU